CCGGCACGGGUGAGUAACACGUAUCCAACCUGCCGUCUACUCUUGGCCAGCCUUCUGAAAGGAAGAUUAGUCCAGGAUGGCAUCAUGAGUUCACAUGUCCGCAUGAUUAAAGGUAUUUUCCGGUAGACGAUGGGGAUGCGUUCCAUUAGAUAGUAGGCGGGGUAACGGCCCACCUAGUCAACGAUGGAUAGGGGUUCUGAGAGGAAGGUCCCCCACAUUGGAACUGAGACACGGUCCAA
Molecule: ribosomal RNA, 239 nt
Filed under: uncultured bacterium
Lineage: Bacteria
Description: partial 16S ribosomal RNA
Rfam family: Bacterial small subunit ribosomal RNA
Source: RNAcentral